Macaca mulatta (Rhesus monkey) is the source of this 4028-nucleotide long non-coding RNA. The record is from Ensembl. NCBI's taxonomy places the organism in Eukaryota, Metazoa, Chordata, Mammalia, Primates, Cercopithecidae.
CCCUCGGAGGGAGGAAAGUGCCUCACUAGGCUGAGAUGCCCAAGGGACCUCCCAGGGAAGGAAAGCAGGAGACACAGGGACAGUGGCUUCCAGCCCUGUCAACACCCUUGUGCCCAACCAGCAAAUACCCACUGGGUGUGUGGGCACACUGCGGCCUUUAAAGAGAAGAGAAACACAUGAGGCUCACAGCAGGAGGCCCUGCCUAGGUUCCAGGGGACAUGGAGCAGAGUGGCUGUGUAGAGCUGGGGAGCAUCCCAAGCCUGUGCCAAGGUUCCAAGGACAAAAAGGGACCUCCAGCACUUGCCUGUUUGGGCAGCGUGAGCACAGAGAGCAGGAGCUUGCCCUCAGAGGCUUCAGGGGGUCGCUUGCACCCACUGGUAAGGUCAGCAUCAUGUUCGACCAAAGGGAGGAAGGUGGCUGUGACCAGAGCAUCAGGGGGUCCUAAUGCAGCUGGGGAGUCAGGCUUGAGUGUGUGCUGUGCAUGUUCUCUGCCUCUCUUCCUUGGGGGUAGGCGAGUCUCCAGAGCCUGGAGGACAAGUUAGCCUUGUGAAGGAUGGCAGAGGACCUGGCCCAGGGGUCCCCAAAAUGGAGCACCAACCCUCCAUGCAGGCCAAGACACUGGUGAAUAUGCUGCAAAAAAUAUGCUGAAACUUCUAUGCAUACCACAGGGUGUGAGAAGAAAAUAUUAGAACUUCUAGUUUGUACACAUGUUACUCCACAACAAGAAAGAAAUCAACUUGAUUAAUGCAUACUGUAAAGACAGCACCGCCCUCCGGAGGCCCUCUGGAAGCCCUAGUGCUGGGACAGCCGCGUCCUCUCGCAGCAAGGGGAGCCUUGAAGCAUAGAGGGGCCCACACAGGUCUAUUCUGUUUCAGUGAAUUUCCUGGUUAAGUGGAUUUGUGGAUUAUAGUCUCUGGUUUUAAUUAAACUAACCCUAACAAAAUGAGCAAGUGGCUUAAGAAGUCUCAUGCGAAGGAAAUGUGUUUUGAAGAUAAUGGAAGCAAGAGCUUAGAACAAGAAAUGGUAGGCCGGGCGCGGUGGCUCAAGCCUGUAAUCCCAGCACUUUGGGAGGCCGAGACGGGCGGAUCACGAGGUCAGGAGAUCGAGACCAUCCUGGCUAACACGGUGAAACCCUGUCUCUACUAAAAAAAAUACAAAAAACUAGCCGGGCGUGGUGGCGGCGCCUGUAGUCCCAGCUACUCGGGAGGCUGAGGCAGGAGAAUGGCGGGAACCCGGGAGGUGGAGCUUGCAGUGAGCUGAGAUCCGGCCACCGCACUCCAGCCUGGGCGGCAGAGCAAGACUCCGUCUCAAAAAAAAAAAAAAAAAAAAAAAAAAAAAAAAAAAAAAGAACAAGAAAUGGUAACUCGGCACUUUUCUUCACUCCUGGAACGAGCCACUCAUGGGGCACAGUACUAGGUAAAUACAGCGUCUGUGGAAUCGGCCCUGAUGAGGAGUCGGACACAGAAAUUACAGCUCACCCAGAAGCCUGCUUGAGAUGUGGUUUACAUCCACGGCCAUGAACACAGGUCCCACCUGGAAGAUGCCCCGUGGGGAGUAACAGGAGAAAAAGCAAGUGGCAGGACACAGUGUGCUUUAUAUCCCAUUUAUGAGAAAAACAAAAUCGAGUUAUGAUAUGUGUUAACACAUGCAUGGGACCUGGAGGCACAUGCGUUACGCCAGCUUCUCCUUGAAGGGAGGCUGGCACUGUCACCAUUGUGCGUCUCUGCUGAUUUGAGUUAUUACAAUGAUUAUGCAUACAGUUACGGUGAGAGACACAAUAGGAAUUUUUAAGCAACUAGGGUUUUUAAACCUUUUAUUUUGAAAUAAUUUUAGAUUUACUGAAGAACUGAAAGGUGGUGCAGAGAAUUCCUGUCCUGUAUGUUAACACAUCACGUAACCGGGGUACAACUGUCAGAACUAAGGAAUAACUGUUGCUAUGCCACCGUGAACUAGAGUUCAGAUGUCUCCAGCAUUUCCACUGAUGAUCUUUUACUGUUUCAGGAAAUAAUCCAGGAUCUAUUUCGUGUGUGGUCAUCUCGUCUCCUCGGUCCCCUCCAGCCUUUCCUCAUCUUUUGUGACCUGGUCACUCUGGAAGGGCACUGUCCAGUUAGUCCACAGGAUGGGCCUUCCCUGGGGCUUUUCUGAUGCUUCCUUGUGAUGGCACUGGCAUCCUGCGGAGCAGGACCACAGAGAGGAGGUGCCCCUCAUCACACCACAUGGGGGUUCAUGCACCAGCACCACUGCUUUCCAGGGCCCUUCACCUCCAUCACCGGUGGAGGUGGCAUCUGCCAGGAUUCUCCACUGUCCGUCGAUUUUGUCUGGCGUUUGAGCAGGGCAAGGCUUCACAGGGCGGGGAUCAGGAGACGGGGAGAGAGGCAGCCAGGCCAGGUCACAGGCGACCUUGACCGUGGCAUGUGAAGAGUGCUGGGCAGAUGCAGUGAGGUCAGCUGUGAAGUUCUAAAGUCUCGGUGGUGUCUUUGGGAGAGAGGGUUGCCGGGGCAAGAAAGGAAGCUGGGGUCCAGCCAGGUCAGAGUAGUGUUGUCAGGUGAUGGGGGAGGAAGACAAUUCAAGGGCAAGGGAGAAGGUGAGACACAGAGGGAUUGGCAUCAGACACCCCACACAGUGCUUCUCUCACUUGGAGAAGCAGAAAGUCGAGGCUUAGAAAGUGCACGGCCCUACCUCUUCUGAGGUGCCCCUGCGGGCUGUCUACAGACCAGGCAGUACAAGCCUGAUAGCAGCUACAUAAAGAAAAGCAGGAGCCAGUUUGUGCACAGUGGCCUCAAGUGUGUGCUGGGCAUGUUCUCUGCCUCAUCAUCCCUGUGUGACAGAUGAAGGUACGGGGGGCCCAGGAGGGGAGGACACUGGCCCAGGUGGCAGUCAGUUGGGGCGGAGGGACCUUGAGCCCGAGUCUUUUUCCCAGAUCCUGCAGGCCUGGUGCUGAGGCAGACAAACUGCCUCCUCUGUCCUGGGCCUCCAACCCCUCCAGCCCCCUGCCCACUUAAACGUAGGGGAGCCUUAGCUACUCAGGAGGCUGAAGCACAAGAAUCACUUGAACCCGGGAGGCGGAGGUUGCAGUGAGCCGAGAUCGCGCCACUGCACUCCAGCCUGGGCGACGGAGUGAGACUUUGUCUCAAAAAAAAAAAAAGAAUAGGGAAGUCUUUUGGCCCAGGUGGGAGUGGGGUGAACAGGAGGGGAGCUCUGUUCUAGGUGCCUGGGUGACAAACCACUCCAAGCCUAGAGGCCUAAAACAGCAGCCGUUUUCUCCUGCUCUCCAAGUCUGUGGGUCAGGAAUUCAGCCAGAGUGCAUCAGGGUGCUUCCCCUCUGCUCCGCAUGUCCCAGAAAGCUGGGGAGACUGAAGGCUGGGUGUAACCCUGGUGACUCAGGCUACUGGGGGCUGGAGGGACCUAGAAGCUUCCUCACACCAAGCCUAGCUCCGGGGCUUGAGUGAAAGCUGACAUAGCCUCUCUGGGUGGCUCGCCCCUCCUCACAGCAUGGCAGGCUGGGCUCUGGAGAAGCAUCCUGAGGACCAGUGUUCCUAGGGACCUCAUUCUUCUGACCUCAUUCCUACAAUGUUUUGCCAAUGCAAAAUAAAUCACCAAGGCCAGGUCAGGUUCAAGGCUAGGGGCAUGUGGGCGGGGAAGUUAGAGGCCACCCUUUGGCAGGGAUAAGACAAGGUCAAUGCUGAGGUCUGUUUGUCCCCAAAGCUCAUGUUGAAAUGGGAUCUCCAGUGUGGUUGUGGUGGGAGGUGGGGCCUAGUGGGGGGUAUUCAUUUCCCUCAUAAGUGGUUGGUGCUGUUCUAGGUCGUGAGCAAGUUCUCACUCUGAUGAGGCUGGAUGAAUUCUAAUGGGAAUAAGUUAGUUCUCUCGAGAGUGGGUUGUUAUAAAGCCAGACACCUCUCAGUUUAUCUCCCUUCACACUUGCCCACUUUCCCUUUGACCCUCGCCAUGUUAUGAAGCAGCAUGAAAGCCCUCAACAGAAGCCAGGGCCAUGCCCUCGAACUUCCUAGUCUGCACAAUGGCCAGCUAAA